UACAUGAGUAACAUCCCUCUUUCCUUGGAAUAACGAUUGGAAACGAUCGCUAAUACCAAAUGAGAAAAUCUAGGACAACCUAGAUCCUUCAAAGUGGGGGCCCCUUCGAGGCCUUGCGGAAAGAGAAUGGCUCAUGGGAUAUCAGCUUGUUGGUGUGGUAAUGGCGCACCAAGGCUAAGACGUCUAGGCGGAAUGAGAGGUUGACCGCCAACACUGGGACUGAGACACUGCCCAGACUCCUACGGGAGGCUGCAGUCGAGAAUUAUUCGCAAUGGGCGAAAGCCUGACGAUGCGACGCCGUGUGGACGAUGAAGGCCUUUGGGUUGUAAAGUCCUUUCGCCAGGGAACAAGAAAGAGUUACGAACAAUAACUCAAUUUGAGCGUACCUGGUAAAGAAGCACCGGCUAACUCCGUGCCAGCAGCUGCGGUAAUACGGAGGGUGCAAGCAUUAAUCGGAUUUAUUGGGUGUAAAGAGCAUGUAGGCGGAUAAGUCAGUCAGAUGUGAAAUUUCGAAGCUCAACUUCGAAGCUGCAUUUGAAACUGCUUGUCUAGAGGAUAGACGGAGAAAACGGAAUUCCAAGUGUAGCGGUGAAAUGCGUAGAUAUUUGGAAGAACACCGGUGGCGAAAGCGGUUUUCUAG
This 640-nucleotide ribosomal RNA is filed under the name uncultured Chlamydiales bacterium. RNAcentral describes it as "bacterial SSU rRNA". It matches the Rfam family "Bacterial small subunit ribosomal RNA", at positions 114 to 732 of the family's 1533-position model. The record is from RNAcentral. Lineage: Bacteria; Pseudomonadati; Chlamydiota; Chlamydiia; Chlamydiales.